This 253-nucleotide ribosomal RNA is filed under the name uncultured bacterium. RNAcentral describes it as "partial 16S ribosomal RNA". It matches the Rfam family "Bacterial small subunit ribosomal RNA", at positions 524 to 776 of the family's 1533-position model. The record is from RNAcentral.
UACGAAGGGGGCUAGCGUUGUUCGGAAUCACUGGGCGUAAAGCGCACGUAGGCGGAUCUUUAAGUCAGGGGUGAAAUCCCGAGGCUCAACCUCGGAACUGCCUUUGAUACUGGGGAUCUCGAGUCCGGGAGAGGUGAGUGGAACUGCGAGUGUAGAGGUGAAAUUCGUAGAUAUUCGCAAGAACACCAGUGGCGAAGGCGGUUCACUGGCCCGGAACUGACGCUGAGGUGCGAAAGCGUGGGGAGCAAACAGG